This is a non-coding RNA of Argiope bruennichi, 83 nucleotides long. NCBI's taxonomy places the organism in Eukaryota, Metazoa, Arthropoda, Arachnida, Araneae, Araneidae. The record is from the annotation of a RefSeq genome assembly.
GGUAGCGUGGCCGAGUGGUCUAAGGCGCUGGGUUUUAGGUACCAGUCCUUUUUAGGGCGUGGGUUCGAAUCCCACCUCUGCCA